This 468-nucleotide ribosomal RNA is filed under the name uncultured bacterium. RNAcentral describes it as "partial 16S ribosomal RNA". It matches the Rfam family "Bacterial small subunit ribosomal RNA", at positions 28 to 507 of the family's 1533-position model. The record is from RNAcentral.
GACGAACGCUGGCGGCGUGCUUAAUACAUGCAAGUCGAACGGAAAGGCCCUGCUUUUGUGGCGUGCUCGAUUGCCGAACGCGUGAGAAAAACGUGAGUAACCUGCCCCUGACUUUGGGGUAACUUCUGGGAACUCCGGAUAUUACCCGAUAGAAGAUCCUGCAGCGCGGUGUUGGUUGGUAAGUUUCGGCGGUUGGGGCUGGACUAGCGGGUUAUCCGCUUGUUGGUCGGGUAGUUGCUGACCAAGCGUUUGACGGGUAGCCGGCCUGAGAGGUUGAACGGCCACAAUGGGACUGAGAUACGGCGCAGACGCCUACGGGAGGCAGCAGGGGGGAACAUUGCACAGUGGGCGGAAGCCUGAUGCAGCAACGCCGCGUGCGGGAUGACGGCCUUCGGGGUGUAAACCGCUUUCUCCUGUGACGAAGCGUGAUUGACGGUAAUGGGUAAGGAAGCACCGGCUAACUACGUG